GAAAUGCGAUAAGUAAUGUGAAUUGCAGAAUUCAGUGAAUCAUCGAAUCUUUGAACGCACAUUGCGCUCGCCAGUAUUCUGGCGAGCAUGCCUGUUCGAGCGUCAUUUCAACCAUCAAGCUCUGCUUGCGUUGGGGAUCCGCGGCUGCCCGCGGUCCCUCAAAAACAGUGGCGGGCUCGCUAGUCACACCGAGCGUAGUAACUCUACAUCGCUAUGGUCGUGCGGCGGGUUCUUGCCGUAAAACCCCCAAUUUCUAAGGUUGACCUCGGAUCAGGUAGGAAUACCCGCUGAACUUAA
RNAcentral lists this unclassified non-coding RNA (297 nucleotides) under uncultured Sordariaceae. RNAcentral describes it as "partial contains 5.8S ribosomal RNA, internal transcribed spacer 2, and large subunit ribosomal RNA". The stretch from base 1 to 105 matches the Rfam family "5.8S ribosomal RNA", at positions 50 to 154 of the family's 154-position model. Lineage: Eukaryota; Fungi; Ascomycota; Sordariomycetes; Sordariales. The record is from RNAcentral. RNAcentral also lists the same sequence under 2 other names.